GAUGAACGCUGGCGGCGUGCCUAAUACAUGCAAGUCGAGCGAAUGGAUUUAGAGCUUGCUCUUAUGAAGUUAGCGGCGGACGGGUGAGUAACACGUGGGUAACCUGCCCAUAAGACUGGGAUAACUCCGGGAAACCGGGGCUAAUACCGGAUAAUAUUUUGAACUGCAUGGUUCAAAAUUGAAAGGCGGCUUCGGCUGUCACUUAUGGAUGGACCCGCGUCGCAUUAGCUAGUUGGUGAGGUAACGGCUCACCAAGGCAACGAUGCGUAGCCGACCUGGAAGGGUGGACGGCCUCAAGGGGACUGAGACCCGGCCCAGACUCCUACGGGAGGCAGCAGUAGGGAAUCUUCCGCAAGGGACGAAAGUCAGACGGAGCAACGCCGCGUGGGUGAUGAAGGCUUUCGGGUCGUAAAACUCUGUUGUUAGGGAAGAACAAGUGCUAGUUGAAUAAGCUGGCACCUUGACGGUACCUAACCAGAAAGCCACGGCUAACUACGUGCCAGCAGCCGCCGUAA
RNAcentral lists this ribosomal RNA (515 nucleotides) under uncultured bacterium. Its description in RNAcentral is "partial 16S ribosomal RNA". It matches the Rfam family "Bacterial small subunit ribosomal RNA", at positions 28 to 523 of the family's 1533-position model. The record is from RNAcentral.